UAACCGUAGUUCAGCUUCAGCUAGUCCGGGACCUGUUAUGAGACCAAGCCGCCCUAGGACUAAAGUUGGAGUCGAUGAAUAAAGAACAACCUUCAGCCGACUUCUCCACCACUCGACAAAAUGGUUACAGUUGAAAAUUCGGACCUACUUAGAUAAAGACGUAUCGCAUUUCUUCUUGGCUCUGUAAAGUUUAAGAUUAUUAGAAACAAAACAAACCGAAGCGUUAGAUGUGUGUAAAAUAGGAAGCUUAUUGUACUUAAAGAAAUUUUAAACGGGGUUGUUGUCUCGAAGUUCGUACAGAAAUUAAUAGACUGACUUAUGAUGAUGUGCUUUUGAAAUAAACAUUGCUGUCUACUUUCA
Limulus polyphemus (Atlantic horseshoe crab) is the source of this 360-nucleotide long non-coding RNA. RefSeq lists it as uncharacterized. The transcript is spliced from 3 exons. The record is from RefSeq and is a predicted model, not a curated record. Lineage: Eukaryota; Metazoa; Arthropoda; Merostomata; Xiphosura; Limulidae.